AAAACGCGUAAUUUUUGCUUAAAUGGGGGAUUUCUGAUGAGAAACCGUGUGAUUUUUGCUUAAAUGGGGGAUUUCCGAAGAGAAAACGCGUGAUAUUUGCUUAAAUGUGGGAUUCUCGGAGAUAAAUCACGUGAUAUCCGAUUAAAAGGGGGAUUUCCGAAAAGAAAACGCGUGAUUUUUGCUUUAAAGGGGGUUUCUGAUGAGAAAAAGCGUCAUAUUUGCUUAAAUGGGGGGUUUCUGAAGAGGAAACACAACAUUUUCGCUAAAAUUGGGGUUUUCCGAAGAGAAAACGCGUGAUUUUUGCUUAAAUGGGGGAUUUCUGAUGAGAAACCGUGUGAUUUUUGCUUAAAUGGGGGAUUUCUGAAGAGGAAACAUGACAUUUUUGCUAAAAUGGGGGAUUUCCGAAGAGAAAAUUCAUGAUUUUCGCUUAAAUGGCAGAUUUCUGAAGAGAAAACGCAUGAUUUUCACUUAAAUGGGGGAUUUCCAAAGAGAAAACACAGGAUUAUCGCUUAAAUGGGGGAUUUCUGAAGAUAAAAUGCAUGAUUUUCACUUAAAUGGGGGAUUCUCGAAGAGAAAACGCGUAAUUUUUGCUUAAAUGGGGGAUUUCUGAUGAGAAACCGUGUGAUUUUUGCUUAAAUGGGGGAUUUCUGAAGAGGAAACAUGACGUUUUUGCUUAAAUGGAGGAUUUCCAAAGAGAAAAUUCAUGAUUCUUGCUUAAAUGGGGGAUUUCCAAAGAGAAAACGCAUGAUAUUUGCUUAAAUGGGGGAUUUCCAAAGAGAAAACUCAUGAUAUUUGCUUAAAUGUGGGAUUCUUGGAGAUAAAGAGCGUGAUAUCCGAUUAAAAGGGGGAUUUCCGAAAAGAAAACACAUGAUUUUCACUUAAAUGGGGGAUUUCUGAUGAGAAAACGCGUGAUUUUUGCUUAAAUGGGGGAUUUCUGAAGAGAAAACGCGUGAUUUUCACUUAAAUGGGGGAUUUCCGAAGAGAAAACACAGGAUUAUCGCUUAAAUGGGAGAUUUUCAAAGAUAAAAUGCAUGAUUUUCACUUAAAUGGGGGAUUCUCGAAGAGAAAACGCGUAAUUUUUGCUUAAAUGGGGGAUUUCUGAUGAGAAACCGUGUGAUUUUUGCUUAAAUGGGGGUUUCUGAAG
RNAcentral lists this long non-coding RNA (1144 nucleotides) under Gallus gallus (chicken). Its description in RNAcentral is "lncRNA (ENSGALG00010001659.1)". Lineage: Eukaryota; Metazoa; Chordata; Aves; Galliformes; Phasianidae. The record is from RNAcentral.